UACGGGGGAUGCAAGCGUUAUCCGGGUUUAUUGGGUUUAAAGGGUGCGUAGGCUGUGAGGUAAGUCAGCGGUGAAAUGCCCCCGCUCAACGGGGUGAAGUGCCAUUGAUACUGCCUUGCUGGAAUGCGGAUGCCGUGGGAGGAAUGUGUGGUGUAGCGGUGAAAUGCAUAGAUAUCACACAGAACACCGAUUGCGAAGGCAUCUCACGAAUCCGCUAUUGACGCUGAUGCACGAAAGCGUGGGUAUCAAACAGG
Molecule: ribosomal RNA, 254 nt
Filed under: uncultured bacterium
Lineage: Bacteria
Description: partial 16S ribosomal RNA
Rfam family: Bacterial small subunit ribosomal RNA
Source: RNAcentral